GAUGAACGCUGGCGGCGUGCCUAACACAUGCAAGUCGAGCGAAGCGCUUAAAUUAGAUUUCUUCGGAAUGACGAUUUUUGUGACUGAGCGGCGGACGGGUGAGUAACGCGUGGGUAACCUGCCUCAUACAGGGGGAUAACAGUUAGAAAUGACUGCUAAUACCGCAUAAGACCCCAGCUUCGCAUGAAGCGGUGGUAAAAACUCCGGUGGUAUGAGAUGGACCCGCGUCUGAUUAGCUAGUUGGUAAGGUAACGGCUUACCAAGGCGACGAUCAGUAGCCGACCUGAGAGGGUGACCGGCCACAUUGGGACUGAGACACGGCCCAGACUCCUACGGGAGGCAGCAGUGGGGAAUAUUGCACAAUGGGGGAAACCCUGAUGCAGCGUCGCCGCGUGAAGGAUGAAGUAUUUCGGUAUGUAAACUUCUAUCAGCAGGGAAGAAAGUGACGGUACCUGACUAAGAAGCCCCGGCUAACUACGUG
This 481-nucleotide ribosomal RNA is filed under the name uncultured bacterium. RNAcentral describes it as "partial 16S ribosomal RNA". It matches the Rfam family "Bacterial small subunit ribosomal RNA", at positions 28 to 507 of the family's 1533-position model. The record is from RNAcentral.